Molecule: non-coding RNA, 179 nt
Filed under: Deltaproteobacteria bacterium
Lineage: Bacteria; Pseudomonadati; Myxococcota; Myxococcia
Description: 6S RNA
Rfam family: 6S / SsrS RNA
About the family: E. coli 6S RNA was the first non coding RNA to be sequenced, but its function was unknown until recently. It consists of 184 nucleotides that fold into an extended hairpin structure with a large single-stranded internal bulge.
Source: RNAcentral
CCGCCCCUGUGGUACGCGUGAUAGGUGAAUUUUUUUUGAGCCAACACCUUUGCCAAUGGCGGUUCCCUUCAUCCCGGUGUGCAUGCCCUGCUUGCAGGGAAGCCUUAAGGGGUGAACAACAGCCAUAACUGGAUUCAAAGGUUCAAAAGAAGCGGCUACACGGUAAUCAUGGGGGCGUG